RNAcentral lists this ribosomal RNA (475 nucleotides) under activated sludge bacterium LB23. Its description in RNAcentral is "bacterial SSU rRNA". It matches the Rfam family "Bacterial small subunit ribosomal RNA", at positions 56 to 525 of the family's 1533-position model. The record is from RNAcentral.
UGCAGUCGAGGGGCAUCACAGGUAGCAAUACUGGGUGGCGACCGGCAAACGGGUGAGGAACACGUACACAACCUUCCUUUAAGUGGAGGAUAGCCCAGGGAAACUUGGAUUAAUACUUCGUAAGAUGAUGUUGAGGCAUCUCAAUGUUAUUAUAGUGGCAACACGCUUAGAGACGGGUGUGCGUAUGAUUAGAUAGUUGGUGUGGUAACGGCGCACCAAGUCAACGAUCAUUAACUGGUGUGAGAGCACGACCAGUCACACGGGCACUGAGACACGGGCCCGACUCCUACGGGAGGCAGCAGUAAGGAAUAUUGGUCAAUGGAGGGAACUCUGAACCAGCCAUGCCGCGUGGAGGAUGAAGGUCCUCUGGAUUGUAAACUUCUUUUAUCUGGGGCGAAAAAGGGGCUUUUGAGCUCAACUGACGGUACCAGAUGAAUAAGCACCGGCUAACUCCGUGCCAGCGCCNNGGGUAAAA